RNAcentral lists this ribosomal RNA (422 nucleotides) under uncultured Bacteroidales bacterium. Its description in RNAcentral is "partial 16S ribosomal RNA". It matches the Rfam family "Bacterial small subunit ribosomal RNA", at positions 355 to 774 of the family's 1533-position model. Lineage: Bacteria; Pseudomonadati; Bacteroidota; Bacteroidia; Bacteroidales. The record is from RNAcentral.
UGAGGAAUAUUGGUCAAUGGACGGAAGUCUGAACCAGCCAUGCCGCGUGCAGGAUGACGGCUCUAUGAGUUGUAAACUGCUUUUGUAUGAGGGUAAAACUGGGUACGUGUACCCACUUGAGAGUAUCAUACGAAUAAGGAUCGGCUAACUCCGUGCCAGCAGCCGCGGUAAUACGGAGGAUUCGAGCGUUAUCCGGAUUUAUUGGGUUUAAAGGGUGCGUAGGCGGUAAUUUAAGUUAGUCGUUAAAUCGGAAGGCUCAACCUUCUCAUGGCGAUUAAUACUGGGUUACUAGAGAUUAGAUGCAGAGGGCGGAAUGUGUAGUGUAGCGGUGAAAUGCUUAGAUAUUACACAGAACACCGAUUGCGAAGGCAGCUCUCUAAUCUACAUCUGACGCUCAGGCACGAAAGCGUGGGGAUCAAACA